This is a long non-coding RNA of Carassius gibelio (silver crucian carp), 11549 nucleotides long. RefSeq lists it as uncharacterized. The transcript is spliced from 2 exons. The record is from RefSeq and is a predicted model, not a curated record. Lineage: Eukaryota; Metazoa; Chordata; Actinopteri; Cypriniformes; Cyprinidae.
UUUGUGAAAUUACAUUUAAGAUAUGAAUAUAUUUUUAAUUUAAGAUACACAUAUACAAUUAUUAAAUUGUCACCAUAUUUAAAACAAUAUCAUAAUUAUAAAAUUUUACUUCGGAACACAGCGCAUUUACUUAUUUAAUUAAAUCACAGCCUUUGCAAAGUCAUAUCACAAUUUUGUUUUUCAUUUUGAUUAAUUAUGCAGGCCUAAAAGCUUGUACUUUAUAAAUUAAUUUUAAUUCAAUCCCAAACUCUAAUAUUCAGUCAUAAAUCGUUGGGACAUACUGCACAUGCACACAAACAUUUCACAGACGUGAAGCGUCUCCGUGAAGGGUAACGGGGUCCCACACAUAUUUCCUUUCCAGAGGCAUUCAAGCAAUUGACCUCAAAAACAAAAGACACAUUAUCAGUCCCUCUGCCACCCCCUCACUAGCACACCUCUGCCCCUCCAUCGCACUCUCCGUCUCUUCAACGGGAAACUUUUUUUUUUCCACUUGCUGCCGUUCACAAACACCCUCUCCUUCCUCUAUAAAGUUAUUUGCGCCCUUUCUUCCUCUCAGUCUCAAAUAACAGACUCUUUCCUUUCUCUUUCUCUUGAGCAGUGUAAUUUCUGCGCCACAGCGUCACCAAACUAAUAUGCAAAAAUAGUUUAAUUUUCUGAAAAACAUAUGAGUGGUGUUUACCUGUGCAAAGCUCCGUGCCAUGACGCUGGGCGCGUUAAAGAGAGAUCACCCAAAAAUGAAAAUCUGCUGGUAAUUUACCAUCCAAGAUGUAGGUGACAGACUAAUAUUUUGGCAUCAUAAGACCUAUAUCUAUAUCAUCAGGAUUCAUGGGUAUUCAUUUUGUUUAUGCUUUUUUGGCUCUCAAAGUGAUGGUAGCCAUUGACUUGCAUUUUAUGAAUCAACAAGGACCACGCUUUUAGCUAAAAAUCUUCUUUACCAUUUUACAAAAAAAAAUAAAGGUCAGCUACACGUUAGUGACUCUGGACCACAAAACCAGUCUUAAGUCGCUGGGGUAUGUUUUUAGCUAUAGACAAAAAUAAAAAUUAAAAAACUUGUAUGGGUCAAAAUUAUAGAUUUUUCUUUUAUGCCAAGAAUCAUUAGGAUAUUAAGUAAAGAUCAUGUUCCAUGAAUAUACUUAUUUGGAAAUGACCUAUUAUAUAUAUAUAUAUUAAAACUUAAUUUUUGAUUAGUAAUAUACAUUGCUAAGAACUUUAUUAGCACUUUAGCAUUUAGAUUUAUUGCACCCUUAUAUUCCAGAUUUUAAAAUAGUUAUAUCUCAGCCAAAUAUUGUCAGAUCCUAACAAACCAUACAUCAAUGGAAAUAAUAUUUAUUAAUCUUUCAGAAUGUGUAUAAAUCUCAAUUUCCAAAAAUAUACACUUAAAACUUAAGGUUUUGUAGUCCAGGGUCACAUUAAAUGGCCUGAGGGUGAAUAUAUCAACAGCUAAAUUUAAAUUUUUUGGGUGAUCUAUCCCUUUAAAUCAGUUUACUCCAUUAACAAUUACUAUUUUAGCAUUCACAGUCACACAACAGACAAUAACAUACUGUUCAUUACAAACACAUGCUGCCAUUGUGUCUUCUGGCCCUUUAAAUGCUCAAGCGCUUUAAAAUUGGGUGAAUUCUGAUUGGCUGUUGUCGUUAAUCAUUCACCAACUGGUAAAAAUAACAAUAAAAGUGAAAAGUGAUUCCAGUGACUUUGUCUCUCUGUUGCGUUAUAGAUAUCCUGUAGUUGUGAUUUCAACUUCCCUUUUUUUAUAGAAUUAAAAUGAUUAUAAAAACUAUAUAGCUAUAGUUAUCAUUCUUGGUGUGAACUGGCAUUAACCAGAUUGUUGCUAUGCGGUCGCAAAGGUACUUUGAGUGUUUUUCACAUGUUUUUGUUUUGUUUUGUUUUGCUGUUAAGAGUGGUCUGAGUGGCUUUUAUGCAAUGCUGUGUAGUUACCAAGGUGUUCUGAGCUAUUUUUAAACAUUGUUGUGAUGUUACUUUAGAUGUUAAUGGUUUUUACUCCUUGUACAUUUGCUAAGGUGUUCAGGGUGUUUAUUUAUUUAUUGUUGUGUGGUUGCUAAGGUGUUCUGGCCAGUUGUAUAGUACUGUAUUUAUGUUUGCAGCACAAAUGGUACAGGGCAAGUUAUGCAUUAGUAUUUUUUGUUUUUGUUUUUUAUAGUUACAUUUAUUGGUAAAAUCGAUAACCCUUCCCCAAAUUCAGUCAGUUUUUAUAAUUUUUAGUCUACGCACCUGUAAAAUAAGUGUACUACAAUCGAGAAAAAAAUAAUAAUUACAAAAUGUACCUUUAAAUUGACAUUUGGGAGGAGUUACCACACACACAACCUGCUGGACACCAAUUAGUCAUUAACUAAAAAACACACAGUGUUCAUCACUCAUUAACUCCAGGAAAUUUUCUCAUGAUAAUGGAUCGCAAAAGCCUUUGUGCUCAUCUUCUAGCGUGGACAGGUCAGGUUGACUACCUCAACUACAAGCAUUAGCAUUAGAGGCUGACCAAUAUGUUUUGUAAUGGCUGGUGCCAAUGACAGUGAUGAUUAUACAUAUAGUCCCUUGUUAAAAAAAAGUCCUUAAAAUGAGUUUAUUUACACUAAGUGCAAAUAGCCCGCCUUGUUGGUAGAGGCUAUUUGCACUAACUCAUCCCACCAACGUGUGAUUGAGCAAAUCAACAUUACAGCAGACAAUCAACAGUGUAUAGUUCCAGUGGCGCAGAUGAUGGUAACACGUGUGCCGUACUCAUUUUGAUGCGAUCGACCCAGGUUUAAAUAUGCCUUUUGGAGAAUUGUUUUGCCCUUUUCAAAUUUCAAAUCACAUCAGAAAAGCAUUUAUUUUCAAUGAAAUUAAAUAAAAUAAUAAAAAAGUUGAAAAUAAAGUAUCGGGUAGGGUUAGGGUAGGUUUAGGGAGGGCUUUAUUGUCCCAAUAAGGUGGCAUCCAUGUCAUAAUUUGAAUUAAAAUGAAAUUUUGCACAAGCUAUGAUUGCAUACUUAAUGUACUACAAUAAUGAGGUGCAGAUUAUUGCCACUAUUUCCAAUAAGCAGUAGCCUAUAAAUAUUAUUAGUAUUUUAACAGUUUAAAUAUAAUCUAUGGCUAUUUGCACUUAGUGUAAAUAGCAUAUCACUAAAAAAUGCUGCUGUUUGCACUUAGUGUAAAUAGCAUCUAUCGCUAAAAAAAUGCUAUUUACCCUUAGUGUAAAUAGAAUCUAUUGCUAUUUACACAAAGUGCAAAUAGCCACUGCCUACUUUAAAACGAGAACUUAUUAUGGAAAUAAUUUACUUUAAAAGAUCAAACUUCAAUCCACUAAAAUAUUUAAUAAAUCUUGCAAUAGGUCAGUUGUAAUUUCAUGGGGUCUUUAUUUCUUGUUCAUAAAACAUUAAAAAGAUCCCCUCAAAAGAAAGUGCUCUCCAAAAUGAGAAUGUCCCUCCCAACCUUGCAAAAAUGAAUUAUAGUAAAAGUGUAGUAACCACAGUACUUUGCCAUAUUGGUUACCAGUUGUAAGAACAGAGUUUUACUAUGAAUACCAUGGUUAAAUUAUGGGUAGUGUAGCAAAACUAGAUGGUUAAUUUGUGGUCACCGUGGUUUAACUAUAACCAUGUUUUCUUUUCUUUUUUUGGUUGUAUUUGUAGCUUCUUCUGAAAAAUCAACUAUUACCACUUGCCACUUUGAUCCCAUUUGCACAGUCCAGAACAAAUCGGAAAGAGACUGAUCUGAGAAAACAAGAGCUCGAAAUGGGAGUUUGUCCCUCAUAAAUGGCAUUUGAAUUGAGAACAUGAAACUGACGUCAGCCUGAGAAACAUUCCAAAGAUUAAAGUUUGUGUUUGAAAGAAGCAAAAUUAAUGUCUGAGAUGAUUGAUUGUUGGGGGAGGGGGGGCACAUGUUUGAUGCUGAAGCACAUGUUUGAAGCUGGCAAAAGAGAGGACCACCAACAUACAAAGCCCAGACUACAUACUGUAGUUCACCCAAAAAUGAAAAUGUGCUGGCACCCUCGGGCCAUUCAAGAUGUAGGUGACUUUUUCUUCGAGAAGAUUUUUAGCUGAAACCAUGGUCUUUGGUGAUUCAGAAAAUGCAACUUGUGCAAGAAACAUUACAUUAUUUACAACAUUAUUACCUGGAAUCCAGAGCCUCAUGCAAACGGUCCAAAGUGAUAUAUGUUCCGUGAAUGAAUCAUUCUUUUGAAAGAGUUCUUUUUGGUGAAUGAGUGCAGACUGAACCCUCUGAAACAGUUUGAUGCUUAAACAGCACAGAUCUACAAGUUGCUAAAUCAAAACUCACUUUCGAGCAUCUGACAGUCACUCCAAAAUGAGCCAAAUUAAUGGCGUGUAUGAUCCUAUGAUGCUGGUUCCUGCCAGCUCACCCAGUGCUCCAGUUCCUCCAACAGUCGCUGAACCGAGAAAACAAUUCUGACUCAGAGCAAAGACAGUGAGCCGAUGAUAUGAGCAUACGUGAACGAACUAGUGAACUGAACCACUGACACGAACUGUCAGAAAGACAUUUGGUUUCUUGCACAGACUGAUCAUUUCGCUUCAUAAGACCUCCACAUUUCGUCAGCAGCCAUCUGUAUUAAUUUUGUGUUCCUUAAUGUGUUUUUUUUUUUCAUUCUCAAAAACACGCAGCCACUUUUACGAACCAUCAAAAAACACCUUUUCAGUUAAAUAUCUUUACUUUUCUGCUCAAGAAAAUAAGCCACCUACAUAUUUAGGGCUGAACGAUAUGGACAAAAUUUCAUAUCUCAAUUUUCAUGCCAGAUAUCUCGAUAUCGAUACGAUAUGACUACGUGUUCUUUUGCUAAGCACGACCUGCACAAGACUUCACUCUGGUUUACAUCAUCUUUUCUGAAUCCAAAAUACUUCCAAAUUAUGGAAGAUGAUUUAUGUUUUGGCACCAAGUCAGAUUCUGCACUGCCACCGGCCGUAUUAUCUCCCGCACUCAUUUCUUUGUUUCUAAUUUAUCCGCUGUCUCUGUACAGUUCAACAGCCACUUACUUUUAAGUAUUUCGGGAGAAGUGGAUGAAUUCACGUGUUGUAAACAUAGAGGUUGUAAAUCCAACAGAUCCGAUUCUCUGAAUUGCGUCUGCGGCACAAACUAACACGGUGGUGCCCAUCGCGCAAACAGCUCAACUAACGCGAUCGUUAUAAAGGUGUUUAAACAACAAUAUACUUCCACUUGCAUGUAUUUGACAAUCGGAAUAUCAGAUAUUUCAUGCCAUAACUAACACAUUUGUGAAUAUUCUGAAUAAAAAAGGAAAAAUUAUAUAAAAGCAGAUCAUUAUUCAUUCAGCGCUGUUGCUGCUGUGGUGUGUCACGUGACAAGCAAUGACGCGUCACCAUGGAAACGCCGCCCCCCCCUCUCACAAUAUAGUUCCUACGUCCCUAGUGUGUGCACGCUGGCUUUAGCGGUGCAGUCCAGGGCACUCGUAAAACUGAUGUUUGUUGUGACUGCCAGAGUUGUAUGCAGGGCGAGCGCGGAGAGGGGAAAUCUAUAUCGUCUAUAUCAUUUCUAUUUCAGCUUUUUUCGAUAUUAAUAUCUUGAAAAUUCAUAUCUAGAUAUAGAUAUGAUAACUAUAUAUCGUUCAGCCCUAUAUUGGACGGCCUGAGAAAUUUCAUUUUUGGGUGAACGAUCCCCAAAUUUGUACCAAGAAAUGAGCUAAAUUUGACAGAACCUCCCCAAAAGUCAUUUGUUUGCAAAUAAAGCAGAUUGUAAACAUUUUAAGAUGUCAUUGCUACAGAGUCAUUUGGUAAACUGUUCUCUCUACAUGAGUGAAUAUGGACGUUAACAGAAACAAACUAACUGGAUUCUGAAUAAAACCCUAAUGCUAACACUCUUACCCAUGUAGUUUUGAAAUCUAGAAGCAAGUCUCCAACAGACACGCACACACAACUUACACUGUUGCAUAUUUUUAGCAUGCUGAGGUAUAUUUAUAGCCCCAAAUGCUCAAAGGAGAGCAGGAGAAAAGUAAUAGGAAAAUAUCUAGGCCCUCUCCUAAGACACACACACACACACCUCUCGCCCUCUUAUACUUGCGUAAACACAUAAAUCUCUCACACACAUGCACACAGAGGCGUACUGUAGGCAAUACAGGGUCAAUACUGAGACCGAAGUGUGUGACAGGAGUUAAACGUUAACAACACACAAACAGACACACACACACACACAGUAAAGGCUUUAUGACAUUGGCCCCGGCUUAACAAACUACAUUUGAGUGCGGCGCCAGUGGAAAUGUGGGGAGGGGUGAAAGAAGAGAGAGAGAUGAAGAAUUAAAGGGUCUGAUGGCCGUCUGUGUCCCAGGCUGUCCACUUAGACUCUCUGGCAGACCAAAUUGUUUGUUUCCAAAACAACAAGCUCUUUGACUUUUGCAAGCUGCAACUUAACUUCAUCAAUGUUGCUGGCAGAUUUAAUUGAGCUGAGAAAAUGGUGCGAGAUGAGAGCUGUUCUCCAGUCGGAUGACACAUUUUUUGAAUUUGUAUAAUAUUGUCGAUCUGAAAUUAUAUUUGCAGCACAAUAUGACGCAUUUACAAGUGAAAUCUAAUGUUAAAUUAAAUUAAAUAAAAUGUAUGCAUUCAGCAGACGCUUUUAUCCAAAGCGACUUACAGUGCAUGCAGGCUAUAAAUUUGUACCUAUUAUGUAUUCCCGGGGAAUCGAACCCCCAACCUUGCGCUUGCUUGCUAAAGCAACGCUCUACCAGUUGAGCUACAGGAACACUAAUGUUAAUGUUAAGCAACAACAACAACAAAAAAUGUAGGACGGGACUUGAUUUUAACCAUCAGGAACUGAUUCGAUCAUGAAAAUGUUAUAAAAAUUUGCGGUCUUUUGCAAAUAAUAAUAAUAAAAAAUGUUUUAAAUAAAAAUAUGUCCUGAAAUAUACAUAUAUGUAUGAACAUGUAUAACUGAACAUUUUAAUAAGAGGUACAGCAGGCUAAUCAACUAGCAGUAUGCUAGUAUGCUGAGCAGUUAACUUACAAAUCGUAGAAAAAAAGAAAAUUGUGACAACAUAUAAUUAACGUAAUUUGUCAUAUAUAAUAGUAAAUAACUUUGGUUAUAUACUAUUAUAUGCAAAUGGCAUACAUGUAAUCAGGGACUUUAGUAGUUUUUGAGGCCAACUCGAUUCAACAAGGCUAUAAAUUAGGGCUGCACGAUAUUGGGGAAAAAAUGACAUUGCGAUAUUUAAUUUUUCUGCGAUAUACAUUACGAUAUUUUUUCUUACAAACAAAAAUCUCAUUGUAAAUGAUUUAAACAUCGACACCAUCAUGUCAAUUGAUUAAUAUGCGCGUGGGAGAGAGAGCAAGACGGCGCUCCUGUUGUUUGAAGACGGCUCUCUCUCUCUCUCUCUCUGUCUCGGUCUCUCUGUCUCUCUCUGUCUCUGUCUCUGUCUCUGUCUCUCUCGCGCGCGCGCUCUCUCUGCCCUGUUUAACUUGCAUGUGGUUUUCACUCCUGUCAAUGAUAAACUUUCACUCUAUGAUGGUUAAGCUGUGCAAUUAAUCCACGAAUCACAUUCGUCAAUCACGAAUCACGCAAAUCACGAGCAGCUGGCCCGUACAGUUAAUGAAUAACGGAUCAACUACGACAGCCUACAUCGCACAUCCUGCGAUGUGACUAUCGUGGAUUCGUACAUCACGAUAUCGAUGCUUUAACGACACAUCGUGCAGCCCUACUAUAAACUUUUUUGCCAUAAAUAUGCUAAUAAAUAGUGUACAGUAAGACCAGGUGUAUGUAUUAUGAGUACACAGAAAAAAAAUCUAGCACAAAUUGCAAGAAUAUUUCAAGUAAUUACAAAGAAACAGCAAGUAAUAGAGUGAUCUAAAUGUGAACAUUUGAAAAAGUAAGUUUUUUACAAAACAUUCUCCAAAAAUCUGUUCUAGUUACAAUUUUGAAAAAUUCUUAAUGGUCAUGUCUGAUCUCAUCUCAACUUUAAAUGAAAAUAAAUAAAUAAAAAUUAACACUGCAAAUAAAUAGACAGAUAACCAUCAAAUGUUUUCAUGCAUUAACAAGGCUGUCGAAAACCAAACAAAAUGAUGACGUUCUGGUAAAUGUCUUACAAACUUCUGGCAACUACUUUCCGUAAACCGUUUUGCUUCCCACAAAUAAACCACACUUCGCCAGAGCUGUUACCCACACACUUCUUAUAAUCAGUGCAAAUCAGACAUAGGCUAGUCAGUUACUGUAACGAAUGUGUAUGUACACAUACAUAGUCAACUCUCUCCUAUUUGUCAAGGAGUUCAAAGGGUCACCCGCACUGUACUUUUAAUCCCACUCCAUCACCUGAUGCUCACACCACUGAGCGCUAUAAAGGCCAGUUAUACACACUCCAGCUGUCAGCCAUGCUGAAAGCCCUAAUCAUUCACCUGCUACCGGCAUUUAAAAGCACAUAAGUGUGUCCAAGUCACAAGUGAGUAAUCACUGCCACCAGUCAGGUCUUUUCACUACUGUACACUCAGCCCAGAAUUGGUAAUCUGAUAUUAAAUUAGAAAAACAAAUAUGAAAAAUGAAAUUUUGUAAAGUUCAGAUCAAAGUAUUUCAGUCUAUGAUUUGGAGUAAAGAAUUGUGGUGGGGAAAUUUGCUGUUAUGUAAGGUAUAUAAGGUAUAGUUGACCCAAAAUUGAAAAUCCUGUCAUCAUUUGCUCACUCUCAUGUCUUUCCUAAUCUGUAUGACUUUCUUUCUUCUAUUAAAACACCAAAAUAAAUGCUAUUAUUUACUGCACACUGGUUGGUAUAGUCAGCUGGUUGACACUGAUGACAAGAAUAUUAGCUUAAGAUUAAUAUUUAUUUGUGGACACGUUAAUAUUUAGUUUUUAGAUAUUUAAACUAGAUAUGUGCAAAAACAUACUUUCAAAAGCUCCGUAUUUUUCCUGUAAUAUUUCCCUCAAAGGCAAAACAACGUCAAAAGCAAGGCAUAAAAAAAUAAUAAAAUAUAAAAUAAAACUGUGUCAGUCAUAGUUGUAGAAGUCGCAUUCAAACAAGUUUCAUCUUGAUUUGUUCCAAAAGAAUGAUCCAUUAAAAAAAGGAUAUACCUACUUCAAAAUUUGUCUAGUUUCUUAUAGUUAUGUUACAGCUUCAGAAGGCUUGAAAUAUAACACGCAAAGAAACAUGUUUGAAACUCUUAUGGUAUUUUUGCAACAUGAGGCUAUUCAAAAAAUGAAAUUUAAAAUGUAUCUUUUUGUACUAUACAUAAGGAAUAAAUGGAAGCAACUGGAAACAAUUAAAAUAGAUAACUGGAACAAAAUGAAUGAGUCAAUUAUGACCUACUUUAUUUUCUUAAAAAAAAAAAAAAAAAACUUUCACUUAAACUUUACGCAUCACUCAGGAUUGAGCAUUCUAAUGGCACCACGGCAUAAAAUAUUGCCCCACACCCAGAUUACAACUGAUGACUCAGCAUUCAACAGAACAGCUACUCAUCAGAACGGGAGAAAGACAGAGAGGCAUGAUUGUUAGAAGACGGGAUUGUGUCUUGUUUCAACAUGAAACUUGCCGAGCCGAAACCCAAUUUCCAACACGUCAGCUGAAACCAACUGAGUCAAACAUGCUUUCAUUCCACGUCUGACAAACACGGCCAUUCUCUCACACACAAACGGUGACUAACACGUUCUCACUUUUCUUUCAUUUCUUCCCUUCCUCUGCAGCGGGGACUACUUCACACCAUCUGAACACCCGCCCCCCGACACACACACACACACACACACACUCCCCAUCACUCUCUAUUUCUGUCUCUGUAUGUGUUCCGCUCAUUUCCUAAUGAAGUGUGUGAAGAGGGAGCCAUUAAACAUGUUCUAAACCAUGUUCAAACCCAUUAUUCAUGCUGCAUGUAAGAUUGCAUUUGACAUUUGACUGAGCAUCAGUUAUGUUUGACAGCUCUAUAAAUGAUACACAAAGGGCUUGCCUAGGCGAGCGUUACAAUUACUAUUGCUCAUACUCAGGGUUUGAUGUUCGACAAAUGCUGAACUCUAAGUAUUAAACUUCGUAAUCAGUCUUUUGAGAAGAAAGAUUGGACUUAGAAAGAAAGAAAGAAAUUGGCAUAGCAUGUUAAAAACUAAAAUACCAUAGAGACUUGAGGGUGGGACUAAGGUUAAUUUAAGUUUGUUUUGUAUUUUAAUAUUAAACUUAGUGUAAAAAUCAGUUCAGUUUCAGUUAGAUUUAACAAUGGAAUGUUAGUUUCAGAUUAGUCUUUAUUUCAUGUGAAUAAAAAGGCAAAGGUAAAAUUAAAUAGAAUAAAAUGUGUGAGUGAAUGAAGGAAUGAAUGAAUCACAAGUUUGGUGAACCUUUGACGGUUCCAAAUUUUCAUGUUGCGAUAAUUGCUAAUGUGUUUAGUGUACGCGAUAAGAAACGAAAGGAAAAUGUUCAGCAUUAUCUAAAAUAAGAACGAUAUUUGCACUUUGGAUUGGCAAAGGAACUUUUAUAUCCAAUCUGUUGCCAUUUAUUAUAGUGCAAAAUCCAAUUUCCCAACAAAACAGCCAUUGGAAAUGCUUUAGAGCCCAAAGGGGAAAAGAUUUUACAUAUUUCAGUGAUUUGACAGGAGGGUUGAAUUUUCGCCCAAUCCAGGAAGGCUGAAGGCGGGACAAAGUCUUGCUUGGCUGUGUGAUUUGCAGGCAGUUUGCAGCCUGUCAGGCACUAAUCGAGGGCAGCUUACAGGACUGAGUGCUUGGAUUAAACAGUCUAUCAUCAUCUGCAGGUAGGAUGUGUUAUGUCAUGCAGAGACAGAUCAGAUGUGAAAAUGAUGAAAUUAAAAUAUUUGAUGAAUAAUAGUCUUUAGUUUCACAUACUGGCUGCUUAGAUAAGGAGGUAUUAUAGGUCAGUAGGUCACAGAAAUCUCUUUCCUGCUGAAUCAUGUUGGAACAUUACAGAUUGAAACACUUUUGUGCACGUAGGCAUUAAAAUUAAUGUUGAAUAACAAGCAGAUGAGUAAAUAUGGAUAAUAAUGGAGCCGAACACACCCAGUGGGGCAUUUUAGUAAAAAAGAGAUAGAUUGUAAAAUCCUGUUUUCAUCACAAUCGAGGGUUUACCUAGAAACGUCCCACUGUCAGUGUCUGUAUCUAGUCAUUUUCUGUCUCUGACCAGCUGUGUGCCUUCCAUCUUCAGUCAGUCCAUUGUUCCUCUGCUGCAACAGGCCGCUUGUUUUUCAGUCGCCUGUUGUCGUGGGAGUGAGCGCAGUGCAGUUUGGAGUAGUACAAAAGGUUACAAGAGUGCAACCUUCAUAUGAGUAAGACAGCAGCUACAGGGACACGGCAAGACUGCAGAUGAAAGAGUGUGUGACUAUCAGAAAAUGUCGAAAUUACCCAGACUGGAACCCUUUUCCCCCAUCCUCCAGGAGAAGCUUGGUGCAGUUUGGAAAUGCUGAGACUUUAGGAUGCCAACUGCAGGCUGCAUGCAUCAAGAAAUCACUCAAUCACACUGAUCUCAUUUUCUUCAGAAUAUUUCUCUGUCCGGAGCCUCGCUGAUGUGUCACCGAAUGCCAUCUGAAAAAUCUGCAUGAUUUUUGCUGAAAUGGCAUUGAAGAUAUAGAUGGUUUUUUGGCCAAUGAAUUCCUGUUACUUUUCCAAUCAUUCAUGGUAAAGGAUUUAAAAAAAUAUA